This 387-nucleotide ribosomal RNA is filed under the name Chaetoceros sp. RNAcentral describes it as "partial small subunit ribosomal RNA". It matches the Rfam family "Eukaryotic small subunit ribosomal RNA", at positions 587 to 975 of the family's 1831-position model. The record is from RNAcentral. Lineage: Eukaryota; Bacillariophyta; Thalassiosirophyceae; Chaetocerotales; Chaetocerotaceae.
AGCUCCAAUAGCGUAUAUUAAAGUUGUUGCAGUUAAAAAGCUCGUAGUUGAAUUUCUGGCUGGAAGGGAGCGGUUCCACAUCUUUGUGGAUACUUGCUCGUCUUCUGCCAUCCGUGGGACUAGUGUCGCCGGUAUUAACUUACCGGCGUCUACGAUGCCCACCGUUUACUGUGAGCAAAUUAGAGUGUUCAAAGCAGGCUUAUGCCGUUGAAUAUAUUAGCAUGGAAUAAUAAGAUAGGACCUAGUCACUAUUUUGUUGGUUUGCGUGAUUAGAUAAUGAUUAAGAGGGACAGUUGUGGGUACUCGUAUUCAAGUGUCAGAGGUGAAAUUCUUAAAUUACUUGAAGACGAACGACUGCGAAAGCAUUUACCAAGGAUGUUUUCAUUA